AGCGAACGCUGGCGGCAGGCCUAACACAUGCAAGUCGAACGAACUCUUCGGAGUUAGUGGCGGACGGGUGAGUAACACGUGGGAACGUGCCUUUAGGUUCGGAAUAACUCAGGGAAACUUGUGCUAAUACCGAAUGUGCCCUUCGGGGGAAAGAUUUAUCGCCUUUAGAGCGGCCCGCGUCUGAUUAGCUAGUUGGUGAGGUAAAGGCUCACCAAGGCGACGAUCAGUAGCUGGUCUGAGAGGAUGAUCAGCCACAUUGGGACUGAGACACGGCCAAAACUCCUACGGGAGGCAGCAGUGGGGAAUCUUGCGCAAUGGGCGAAAGCCUGACGCAGCCAUGCCGCGUGAAUGAUGAAGGUCUUAGGAUUGUAAAAUUCUUUCACCGGGGACGAUAAUGACGGUACCCGGAGAAGAAGCCCCGGCUAACUUCGUG
RNAcentral lists this ribosomal RNA (433 nucleotides) under uncultured bacterium. RNAcentral's name for it is "partial 16S ribosomal RNA". It matches the Rfam family "Bacterial small subunit ribosomal RNA", at positions 29 to 507 of the family's 1533-position model. The record is from RNAcentral.